GCUGGAUGUGGAACUGCAAGAGCAGAGAGGAGGAGAAGUCUCACCAUGAAGACAAAAGAAGUCCUGAGCCUUGGAUUUUCUUCCUCUAGGUCUGUUUUGUGGACCCACAGACUCGUAGAAGUUCUCUGAGGGCUGCCUGCUCCCCAUCUGCCUCAGAUGGAUCCCUUAAGGUAAGAUUGGGAACCAGCUGUGGAAAGACUUUAAUAAUGGGAUGGAUGGACUACCAAUCUCCCCCUCUGUCAGGAUUGAUUUUGCAGCAAGACUGUGAGCUUAACGAGAGCAAAACUCAGGCCUUAUACUCCUUCAUGUGCCCUGCAGACUCCAGAGGUGCUAGGAGGUUUCAGCAUGAAUUCUGGAGAGGACACGUGCAUUCAGACCACAGCCUCUUGUUGAGUGGGACUUCACAAUUGGAGAAAAACACAUCCCCCUUGCUUGGACAUCAUCGACUUCCCAUUCCUCUGCCUGAAAGGAUCCUGAGAUGUGCCUACAGACAUCAGCAUGAUGGCUCAUCUGAAACAGCCUCCGUGGAGCGUGCAGAUGAAUCAAAUCUAAAGAGCGAGGAAAAAACAGAAAUGAGUAAUUGGUGAAUUUAGGAAGAAUGGAGAGUUCAUCAGGGUAAUCAGAAACAGUUUUAACAUCAAAAUUAGCAAUCUCGUUUCCUGAAUCCAUGGGUAAUGAUGUCUCAUCAUUUUAGAAAUGCCUAUAAUAAAUCCUUUAAAAAUAAAUUCCAGUAACUUUGAAGAAAAAUAAGAACCCAAAUGAAUAUGACAAUUAUCUAGAGUUUAAAAAUAUUAGGAUGAGAAGCAAUUUUUAGAAAUCAUCUGUAAAAUGCAGAUAAUACACAUACCAGUUAGAAUUUUGGUGAAGAUGAAAUGUUAGAAUGAAUGUAACUCACUUAGCCAGAGCCUUGCAUAUACUAUUAUUAUUUCAGCAAAUAUGAUCUGAUCACUUUAUGGGCCAAGGAAAGAUGUGAGGUCUGGAGAGAUUGACUUGUCUGUGGUCAGAAAGCUGCCACUGAACAACCCAAGAUUAACAUCCUUUAGGGUGAUGCCCAGUAUGGAAUCCUUUCUGCUUUGCACAGUUCCAACACCCAGCAAGUUUACAUCAACAUAUUUUAACUCAACCCCAAAACUCUAGAAAAUGCUAAGGAAGAUGAGACUUUCUCAAAGACGCCUGGCACAUUUCAGUCACUACACAUUGUUUAAAGUUGCUGGAGGAAUCAUGGAAGACUUUGUUUCCACCAGAGCCUUGGGCAUUCACAUUGGCGAGGGGGCUGCUCAGGAGGGCCUUUGGGAAGGAGAAUUGGGAAGAAGGUGGUUAAGGCUUAUAUGGUAGGUGAUGCCGUUCGAAAAGGACGUGAUGAAGCCUUCUCUUUUACCCCAAAUUUCCAGAAAACUCACCUACAGUGGAUAUUUACUUUGGCCUCCCUCAGAAUCACUGGAGUGUGCUUCAUAUCAGAAUUCUGAGGAGCCGAUUAGGGAGAGAAUGUGAGUUGGCAAAGCAUGGGGUUGGCUGGCCAGGUUUGUCCUACCAGAAUCUCCACAAGGGGCUCUUUAAUGGAGAGAAGCAGAGGUAGACCAUGCAACUCAUGCACCUAUUAAAACUUUCCUAAUAACAUAUAAGUCCUCUAACUUUUUUUUAGCUUGGAAAAAAAGCUUUUAAAUACAUUUUAACUAAGAUAUUCUAUUAAAUUCAAUCUUUUAAAUAUGGGUAUAUCUUUCCCCCUCAUAUUCAUCGGAUUUGGCUAUUUUUUUAUAGCUUUAGAUCCUUUCUAUUCAAGUUUAUGUUUAGCUGCUAUUUAAAUUUUUUUUUAUUCUUGUUUUUCCCUCCUCCCAUCCUCCCCGGUACUGUCGUGGAUUUUAAAGAACACACUUUUGGGGAGGAUUGGAAGAAAAGGCUGAGGCUAGAGCUUGCUCAGUCAUACUUACCUAAUCACAGCCGUUCAUCCUUCACAGCAUUCCAUUCCCUUGUGUGUGUGUGUGUCUGUGUGUGUGUAUGUGUGUCUAUCUAUACAUGAAGGCUGAGAUAUGUCAACUUUUGAAAAAAAGAUGGGUAAAUUGCAUGUAUUUACAAUUUUGCAUUGUGUUUCUUUGUUUUCUAGAUGUCAGCUGAGGCCUCUCUGCCUCUCUUGAGAUUAGGCAAAAUUAGCAAGAAUUUCCCACCACUAUUGCCAAUGGAUUUCUGAAGUUCCACUAAUAUUUCUUUGAAUUCAUGGGGAGGGGGCAGAGUGAAGCUGUGUUCUUAAGGCCUCCUCUGUGUCCUGGGCUACUUCUUUCCUGCUUGUCACUUUGGCUCCAUUUAUAUCCCAUAAAACUCUUAUCCAUUGUAGAAAUUAAAGAAACCAAAAUACUCUCACAUAAAAAAUUAAGGUGAACAGAGAAGAUAUUUCUACAGCUUUUAGGAGGAGGGAAAAGGGGUAUUAAAAUGGAUGUAUGACAUAGAAACACAAACAGCCGCACAUAGAAGAGUAGGCCUUACCAUUCUUCAAAUGUGCUUUGGCCACACUGUCGCCAGAACAUUCCACUGGUCUUCCUGCCCUGGUACAAACCCUUACUAUUUCCUUGGCUCUUCUCUUAUCCUUCCUUUUAAAAACAAAUGCUGAAAAUGUCUCAUUUCACGCAGAGCCCUAGCGAAGGAGCCUUACAAAUGUUCUUGCCCAAAAUCUCUAACCAAGGGGAAUUCUAGGCUGCCCCUGUGAAGGUAGCUGCCUUUUGACUAAUAUUAUUUUUGUGUUUACUUCAUGUUUAGUCCACAUACUGGCUAUUUUGUAUAGCUUUAGAUGAAAACUAUAUACUAUAUAUCUAUAAAAUAGCAGAAAGCAUUCGGAUUGCGAGUGCUUUUGGAUUCAGCAUUGUUCCUCUGAUUAUCUGGUAGGUGUUGUUAACAUACUGUCUGUUUUCUCUCUCUAAACCCCCACAGGAAACAGGGUAGGCCUCUUGGGGUGUCUGGCAAACUGGGAAGUGACAGGAUUCAGGUCCACAGAAGUAGAAAUGAGGGUUUCCCCACAGGUGAUCAAGAAAGGCAAAAGCCCAGUGGUUCAUCUGAGCCAAUAGCUCUUGCAGAGCACCAAGGAUUAUGCUGGGGAACCAAGGUUAGUUGAGAAAUUCAAAGAUCAGGAAUAGUGUUUAAAAAGAAACAAAAAAGUGUGCCUGCGUGUGUGUGCGUGUGUGUGUGUGUGUGUGUGUGUGUGUGUGUGUGUUGGGGAAGGGGCUUGGAGGCAAAGCCGAGGAUUAGAGGCCAGGCAGAGCUAGAAUAGCCUGGAAGGACAUAGGAACAUCUAUAACUUGCCGUUUUAGACAACAUGCAAGCAGAGGGCUGCUCCAUCCCUCACAGGGACGUACAGGUACUCCUGGGCACCCUUUUGUCCAUAGGAAGCCACGGCUCCUGUUCGAGUUUCCUGUUGUCAGGAUUCACUGGCAUUGUGUUCCUUUCUCAGCAUCAGUCACACCUUUAUGAUUGUUGUUGUUGGGGCAAUAUUAAAUGUUUGGAGACUCCCAAGGGACUUUUACGGGGAGCAAGUUGUAUUUUGAAAUCUAAGGAGUAUACUCUGACUUGAAGACUAGUUGUAAAGGCAGUUUUAUACCAGCAGAUGUGUCUUGUGAUGCCGAAUCAUUCAUCACUAUAAAAUUUGUAAAUUACAGAACUCAUUUAUUAGUUUCUAGUUGAACCCUUAUAUUCAGGCAUUUCUUAAAAUAUUCUCUUGC
Molecule: long non-coding RNA, 3704 nt
Organism: Macaca mulatta (Rhesus monkey)
Lineage: Eukaryota; Metazoa; Chordata; Mammalia; Primates; Cercopithecidae
Source: Ensembl